RNAcentral lists this ribosomal RNA (276 nucleotides) under uncultured bacterium. Its description in RNAcentral is "partial 16S ribosomal RNA". The record is from RNAcentral.
CUGCUGCCUCCCGUAGGAGUCUGGUCCGUGUCUCAGUACCAGUGUGGGGGACCUUCCUCUCAGAACCCCUACGCAUCGUCGGUUAGGUGGGCCGUUACCCCGCCUACUGCCUAAUGCGCCGCAUGCCCAUCCCUGUCCGGCCGAAGCCUUUACUGCCUCCGGGAUGCCCCGGUGGCAUGUACGCGGGUUUAGCCCGCCUUUCGGCGGGUUGUCCCCCUGACAGGGGCAGGUUGCAUACGUGUUACUCACCCGUGCGCCGGUCGCCGGCGGAGAAAG